This 3924-nucleotide long non-coding RNA is filed under the name Pomacea canaliculata. RNAcentral describes it as "uncharacterized LOC112558110, transcript variant X3". The record is from RNAcentral. Lineage: Eukaryota; Metazoa; Mollusca; Gastropoda; Architaenioglossa; Ampullariidae.
GGAAAUCUCGCAGUUUCUCGCCACGUUCGUUCGCGACGAGCACGAGGGAAGAGCGAAGGCAGCUGACAGUUUGUCACACCUUCAUUCAGGCGGAAGUGCAGCAGUCAACGGCAGUCUCGUUUCAAAGGUUGGAGCCUCGCCAUGUUUCUGACUGGACUAGAAGAAGAAUUGUUCAACAAAAUUUCCUUACAUGGACGCUGGUGUCGUCCGCCCCUGCUGCUCGAGUUUGUAUCACACAUGGUGGAGCUCGGCAAGCCUGCUACACCUGUCGACAUCAGCACGCAGCUGCCUCUGUCGUCAUAGCAACCACGGCUGUGUAUACAUGUGGGUGGAUUGAUGUCUGUCUGCCGAGACUAACGCUUCGCCUCAUGUGAACUUUGAACUCUGCUGUUAGUCUCAGCGAGACAUUACCACCAGACUUCCGGACGAGCAGCACGAAGAUGGAAUUUAACAAGAAUAUAAUUCAACUAUAUAAUGACCACUCUGUUGACACUGCCAUUGUCGUCGUUCGCUAAACCGGAAGCUGUUUGCUCUAGAGACUCGUUCUAUGAGUUUCUUGAAACAUCGCCAGCAAGCAGUCCAGUAAAACAAGAUGGGCGGACUCCUGUUGCAGUUCGUGGCCAGGUUUGCCUCCUAAUCUGUCUCCAGGUGAGUCGUCUCAUCAUCAACUGGGUCCUUGCUACCUGACCAGAAUGUUGCUCCAUGGUUCAGUGCAACAUAUUUAAAAAUUAGCUGGAGUAUCCCAGUCUUUCGUGUGACUGUAGGUACACAGUGUAUUUGCACAUAGUAGAUCAAAGAGAGGCGAGAGAUACCGCCGGCCGUUCGUAGUGAAGUAGGAGAUAAAAAUUACGGUCGUGCCAGCUACCUUACUCAUUCGCCAUCAUUUGCCCUCCAAUUUCAAUGAGUUUCCACCAUCAGUACUCUUUUAAAUUGUCCAAGUUUGCUCGGCGUAGAACGGGUACGUCGAACACUGAAAAGGAUGAGGUUCUUUUCCUUUCAUUUGUAACUAAUUCUAACCGAAAGAGUAAACAUCCUUGGCGAAAGGAGUAUUCUUUCUAAAGCUUACCAGCUUUGGACAUUAACUGCCUCCCUUCCCCCAACACACACACACUGAGUAACACAGAUUGCCACUCUGUGUUGUAUAUAUAUACACACACAUAAAAGAUGCAUCAGAGCAGAAAGAUGCCUUGGAUAUACCCUAGUACCGGUGUCAAUCUUUUUUUCUUCCUCAGUGUGUUCUAUAGUACAUCCGUACAUCAAGCGAAAGUUUCAGCGAGAUAAGGUGAGAGCACAGAAUUAGAAGAGAUCACAGACGUCAGAGGUAGGUCAGUUUCAGCAUGAUAUUUAUGUAUACAAAGAAGUAAUUCGUCUUUUUUAAAGUUACAGGUGUAAAGUGAGAUAUGAACCUACUAGAGGUAGGUGUCAGGCACUAAGCAGACGCAUUUCAUCCCCACACACACAUAUUCUGCUCACACACAACUUUAAGGAGAUUUCACCCCACUCAUUUUUACUAUUUAGUAUUUUUUUUUUAAGUUAAAAUGGUCAAUGUAUAUAUUUUGUGCUUAUAUUAGGACAUACAAAUAGCACAAAUAAACAUCAUUUAGAAUGACAACAUCCCGGAAAAUAAAUUACCGAAAGCUCGGGCGUAUGAUCAGCCAGGACUGGCCAGUCGCUCACUCAGCUGCUAGUCGUGUACCUUACUCAUUUUUGAGAACACGACAACAACGUAAACAAGCUGCUCCUGGGGUCACGUGACUGUGCGCGUGGUGGUGCUGCUUUAGGAGUCGAGCAGCAGAGGCGGUGCUAAAGCUCAUGCAAGUAAAACUAAUUUCUCAGACGGCAGUUCUCAGAAAACCAACUGUCACGGGAUUUAUGAAGUGUUUUUUAAGAACAAUUUUUUUCAGAAAUAGGUUCCGAGUGGUCGGUCUACCAGGACCGUGAACUUUCUUAAUUGCACGACACAUUUGUUGUUGUUGAGAGCACCUGCACAUAAAGCUGUCAUAAAGCAAUCACGUGCUUUAGUGUCAUGCACUUUGCCAGGUGCUGCACAGCUUCUACCAGUGCAUGCGUCCGUAUUUGCAGGCAGGCCUGACGAGAGGGAGGGUAGGUGUACCCCGGUCCGCGGCUGUGGAGGGGCCCGGUCUUCUCAAGUAAUUUGUUUUACGAAAGGGAGAAGAAGAGGCUUCGCGAGGAACGAAUAAAUAAAUUUAGAUAUCAGAGAACGCUGUAAAGUAUAGGCUUCACCCCCCUGCUAGAGUUACUGCUAAGUCCAUUAAUUAAUUAAUUGUACCCAAAUAACGAAUGUGAUAUCACACGUGCAUUAAGGUAAAAGAUAUAAACUUGUAUUGUCUUUAAUCUUCGUUUCUUCAGUAUGUCGAAUUGUUCACGUCCACUGGUGACAUUUUGCUUUAGGAGUUCGAAUAGUUCGGUCUUCCCUUCAUUUCCCCUCAUUUACUGACCACUGGCACAUACACAGCUCUAGAAUGUUCUUCUCAAGCAGUAUUGUAAGCCUAGUUGUCUACACUUUUACUGUCAAACAGACGUUUGUUGUCUAUGCUACUUUACUAAACGAAAUGCAGAUAUUGCCAGUCGAAUUAUAACUUGCAAGCAUGUUGUUAUUUACUGGAAAAAUAAUAAACAAUUACAAUUAAUGAUUAACGCAGGGUGCCCGGAAAGGUCAUCUACCCCGGGGCUCGUGCUGGCUUUCGAAUACUGUAUCAUGUUUGCAGACCCAGUGGCUUAGAACAUGGUUUGCCCCCAUCCAUGUACCUCCGGUGUACUGAAAGCAGUUUAUCUCUGUCUCUUUCUUUCCCCUCUCUGUUGCUGGGGAGGGUUGAAUGUACCCUCGUUACGAGAAAAGCAGGGAGAGCGGUUUCUAAGCCCUCGAUCACAUAAACUUCUUUCAGAUAUAAACACACCACAACUAUCUUGUCCUCAUAGUCUGUAGACUGCUCUAGUCAAUAUGAGCUUCGUCUUGUCUCUUGUUAGUUCCUGUCUGAUAUUAUUGCAAAUUUACAAUCUAUAACUCGGCAAGGUAAUCGUAUUUUCUGAGCAAUUCAUUUCUCAGAAACGAGAAAAAUCGCUGUGACCUUGCGAGAGCGAAUAUCAUGUCAAGGCAAUACAUAGAGGAUUGGAGUGAGUUCCCGGGGAUCAGGGGCUCAGAGUUGCGAGGUCAGAGUAUGUCAGCUCCUGUCCCAAAGAUUUCUCGAAAAAAGACCUCUCUGUGAGUGUGUGUGUGUGUGCUUGUAGUGUGCAUUAAUUCUCAUGAAAUCUCUCCAAAGGGGUAGUCUAGUGCGUGUAAGUGUGAGACCAUCAUCAGUAGAACGAUUUCAUAUGAGUAUGAAGGGGCCUCGGUGUAUUUAUUUCUUGUUCUCGGGAGCGACUGUCGCUGUAAUGUUGUUUUUGUUGCAAGUGUUAUCCGGAGUAUGUACCCCUCUCCUUGACUAGCGCGUGGUGCGUGCUGUGUGUCCACUGCCCAUGGCCUGCCUCCUCUCGUCUGCCUCUCGAUCAGGCUCUUGAAACAGAAAGCUUCUACCAUCCUCCUUCACAAAGAUUGCGCAUCAGAUUAAGUCCAUUUGAAGUCGCGGCCACCAGACUUUGCUAGAUGUUCUCUCUAGUCUAUGCUGUAGACACAAAUGUGUACACGCAUGCGUACACACAUCAGUAGUUGCAGCUAUAGGGAGAUACCAAUACUAUAUAGCUCGGUGUGUAGCUAUGACUAUAGGGAGAUACCAAUACUAUAUAGCUCGGUGUGUAGCUAUGACUUUAUGGGGAUACUAGCCCUACAUAGCUCGGUAUGUAAGUAGUAUAGGCAUGUUGCAUCCAACCCCCAUUUGGGGAGCCGGAAGGGGAGCCGUGACGUCACCGCCGCCAUCUUGCCGGAAGUCGGUGGGGGCGGCCAUCUUGUCGCCAUCUUGCCGGAAG